Miniopterus natalensis is the source of this 1897-nucleotide non-coding RNA. The record is from RefSeq and is a predicted model, not a curated record. NCBI's taxonomy places the organism in Eukaryota, Metazoa, Chordata, Mammalia, Chiroptera, Miniopteridae.
UUUAAAUCCAGUUAUUUAUCUUUUUGUUGUUGUAAAGUGAUUUUUUUUAAUGAGGAAAAUUACAUUUUACUACUUAUAAAUUCAGAGGUUUUCUUUCAUCUCUUUUCACCUUGCUCUCAAUCUUGAACCCUUUAUGCAGAAUCUGACCCCUUCCCACCACUUCACUGCUAUAGUCCAAACUACUAUAUUUCUCUCCUAAUCUUCUGUUUCCAUCCUAGCCCCUCCUCUCAACAGUCUAUUGUCAACCUCUUUUCCAGGGUUAAAUCAAGUCAAUCCUUUGGUGGAAAUUCUUCAGAUGGCUCCUAACUUGAGCAGAGUAAGAACUAAAUUCCUUUCCUUGACCUGCAAAACUCCACUCCUCCUGCACUCCACAACUUCUGAACUCUCAAGACUCAUGACCUACCACUCUCCAUCAUUCUUACCAGCCUCCUUCUCUCACUGGUCCUUGAACAUAUCAGGAAUUCUACCUCAGGGCCUUUGCAUUUGCCAUUUCCUCUGCCUGGAUUGCUCUUACUCCCAAUAUCCACAUGGCUCACUCCCUCACAUUUUGCAGGUCUUGACUUAAAUGUCACCUUCGUGCUAAGGCUUUCCCCUUACAUACUAUUGAAAACUGCAAAGCAGCCCCAAACCCACUCCACUGAUACAAGCACACUGUGCAUGAUUCCUAGUUGAGCAUACCACAUGGUUUCCUCAUUUGUCUGUUUUGCCACUAAACUAUAACUUCCUGAGAAGAUGGAACUGUAUGUUUAUUCACUGCCAUAUUCCUAGUACCUAAGAUAGUACCUGGCACACAGUGGGCACCUUAAUAAUUUUUGUUGAAUGAAUGAGUGAAUUUUGAAGGCAAAGUGGAUUGAGUAAGAGGAAUGUAACUAUCAUGUGCAUCCCCUGCCUGUCUUGAGCCUCACUUGCUCCUUUGUCUUUCCACCACCACCAGGACCGAGACAACUAUUAUAGACUCCCACUGAACUGCAAAUUUUAUAACAAGAUGUUGACUGCCUCCUGUGUUCAAGAGUUCCACUUGUCUCCUUCAGUGCUGAAGGUGGACCCUUGCAUAUACCACUCAAAUAUUUGUUGAUUAAUUGAUUUUAAAAAAUAGAGGAUGGAAAUAGUUUCCAUUGGAGAAACCUGGCUGAUACCAUCCUACCCAAGUGGUCAAGGUUAACAUCACCAGUUAUGUCGUGCUGAUAUCAGGAAUAGAAAAAAAAAACAGUGGGACCAAUUCUGGCAGAAAUGACGGUUCAACAGACAUUCAUGGAGAGCCUACUAUGUGCCAGAAUUAUCCUGUGCAUCAUGGAAAAGUAUGGAGUAAUGGUUAAGAACAUGGACUCUUUAGACAGACUGCAGGGAUUGGAGUAACACCAUGUGUGACCUUGGACAAGAUUUCUUGGUUUCCAUAGCUAAAAAGUGGACAUAAAAUAGUGCCUAAUUCAUAGGGUUGUUAUUGUUAGGGGCAGAGAUGUUGAUCAUGCUCUGUUCACCGUGAUUGUUAGCUAUAGUUAUAAGAAAUAUUAAUCAUGUUCUGUCAACUGUGAUUGUUCUGUCCUAAUUAGAAAAAGCACUUUCUAACAUCGCUGGGAGUUGUGUGCCCAGGGACAAGGGAAUUACCCUUGGAAUGUCGCCCAUUCUCCUUUUCCGAGAACUGCUUUUCAUCAUGGAAAGAUUAACAACCUUGUUCCUGAAACCAUGGAAUCCCGGAGGCACCCACCCUUUGCAAUCCCCAGCCCCCAUUGCCUACUUCCCCAUGCCUGUAAUUCUUAGUUUCACGUGUAAUCUUUGUCCUUACACCUGAGAUAAGCAGCUGGCUUAGGGGGGGUGGCAGAGCAGAUUUUUGUGGAUGACCUUUACUUCUCUCCCAUAUUGCCAGCAAUAUUGGAAUAAACACUCAUAUGGGAUUCAA